GGAGUAUCUCUCCCAGAUGUCGGGAUAGCCCACAUGUAACACAGUCCUUAGUCUUUGUUUCCAGCGGUGGCAGGCAGAAAGGAGAGGGAGCUGUUCGAGGUGAUUACUGGACGCACACACACCCUUUGAUUCUUCCGCUGCUUAUUCUGGUGAUGGAUCGGAGGGGCACCGCUAAUCCCGGCAUGCCACAGCAGCUCUUUUUGGAACUGCCGUGAGAGAGGUGUAAGUGCAGCAGCGGGAGAGAACACAGGAGAUGAAAAUUGAAGCAAAAGAGAGGCCUAAGAUGAAAGGAGGCCAAUAAAAGGCAAGUGAGGCUUUUUUUUCUAUGCCAUUGUUAGCUGCAGAGCACACAGGGCCAAAAGCCCUCUUGGUUUUUCUUCAUGUGCCAAAUAGAUUGACAUUUUUCUGGGCUUUCUCUCUCUCUCGACCCCCAAGGGAUUCAGCCAGUUUCACUUAGUGACAUGAAAAAUAGCCAUGCCUAUCAUGAGAAGACGUGUCUACAAAAAAAAAAGAGUCUCAAAAAGCCAUGCCUGAGAAGACGCAGGAAGUCUGACAUUUUGGUUUAAAGCUACCAUUUUAGGGUCAUUGUGUAUUUUCAGGGGCCCUUUAAAGAAAAGCCAGCCCCCAAAGCCAGUUUCUUUUAGCAAUCUAAAAUUGGGCAAGAAGGUCUAUCAUGAGUAGACCUGCAAAAAGUCUCAGGAAGCCUACUAUUUUGGUUUAAAUCGGCCAUUUUAAAACCAGGUUGGCCAUUUCCAGGGGUCCCCACCCCCCCAAAAAAAAUCCAGCCCCCAAAGCUACUUUCACAUAGCAACAAGAAAUUUAGUAGGAAUGUACUAUCAUGAGACGCACAAAAAAGCCUCAAUAACCUAUGCCUGAAAAGACAGCGUCUGCCAUUUGUUUGUUUUUUGUUUUUGUUUUUUGGGGUAAAGCAAACACUUUUGGGUCAUGUUGGCCAUUUCCAGGGGUCCUUGAAAGAAAAUUCAGCCCCCGAAGCCCGUUUUACUUGCUAACAUGAAACAUAAUAGACAUUUUGGUUUGAAGCAACCAUUUAAGGCUCAGUUGGCCAUUUCAAGGUGUCUUUCAAAAGUCCUCAAGGUUUUGUCUGAUUGCUACCAAAUUUGAAUCACAUAUACUGGACAGAUGGGUGACACUAAAUUAUGGAACAUUUAAUUUUCAUCAUAGCGUGUGGGCAGAGCCUGGCAGCCAAGUUUGAUGAGUCAUAAAACGCAAAACUCCAAUAACUUGCCUCCACGAGGUCAGCGCUUGACCAACUGUGAUGAAGGCCAGUCCUCAGAUUUGUCACACCUUUUACAAUUAACUUUAUACGAGAUCCAAGUUUCCACGCUUGCAGUCACCCUGGAAAGAAGUCUACUUUAUCCACUGCCUCCAUUACCUUUUCUGUGAAAUGCUUCCUAAAUUCUCCCGAAACCAGGCUGCUAACACACAGCAGCACAGUAAGCGUGUCACCCAAAAGCAAAUGGCUGCAAUAACAUUAAGCAAUUACAAUAAGAACAAACAGCAAUUCUUUAUUAGAGUAUCUCUCAUAUUGUCAGUUCACGCGGCGCCCCAAAAUUGCCGCAGAAAUAAUUAAUGUCACUCUCGCUUGGGCUCACGCGAGACUAAUUUGCCUCCUGCCUAAAGAGUGAGGCAUCUCGGCGUUGUGCUUUUUCUUUUCUUUUUUUUGUUACG
Long non-coding RNA from Phyllopteryx taeniolatus (common seadragon), 1689 nucleotides. RefSeq lists it as uncharacterized. Lineage: Eukaryota; Metazoa; Chordata; Actinopteri; Syngnathiformes; Syngnathidae. The record is from RefSeq and is a predicted model, not a curated record. The transcript has 3 exons.